UGGGCCGGCCCCAUAAUUUACAUCACAUGGCGUAAAUCACUUCCUCAUUUAGCCUAGGCCUUAAAUCGCUAUAUGUAGCAGCAUUUGGAUGGUGCUGUGUUGCUCGGCUCUUUCGGAAUAUAACCCCCCGGUCGCUGCAAGGAAGAUUGCAGUUUUUGACGGUGAGCUCCCAGCGAACACUCGGCCACAUUCCUCCCUUGUCCUAAGCCCCUCGGUCUGCUGAUAAGGUGGGUUCUGCACUACGACUGGUCGAAUUGGCACUCAGUUUAGCGUGGAUGCAAGGUAAUACCAGCAUGUACUGUCAUGGGUUGCAUUGCGUAUCUGUUGCUGUUCAAAUGUAAUGCUAAUGCUACUCUGUUUGCCUUCAGGAAGAGCUACCUAUUGCCAUUGCUGUUUUGCCUUGUAUUUUAUUUAUGAUUUCUACAAUUUGUUUUGUUUACGUGUACUAUAUCUCGCACACAGACGCGGCUGUCUGGGCUGGCUGAUUGCGGGUGAUCUGUCUCGUUACGCCUGCAUGUCCGUGUGCUUUGAGGGGGGGAAGUUUGUCUGCGUCUCGGAUCAUUUUAUUGUUUGUUUUGUUUGUGACCAACUGUGUUCGUCUCGUAGAUACAAUUAAGCUGCAUCAGCAUCACCCUUAGUGGCUGUAUAUCGCCACAGCUGGGGAUCGGUCGGGCCCACUGGUG
Long non-coding RNA from Alosa alosa (allis shad), 683 nucleotides. RefSeq lists it as uncharacterized. The transcript has 3 exons. The record is from RefSeq and is a predicted model, not a curated record. Lineage: Eukaryota; Metazoa; Chordata; Actinopteri; Clupeiformes; Clupeidae.